CGAGUGGCGGACGGGUGAGUAAUGUCUGGGAAACUGCCCGAUGGAGGGGGAUAACUACUGGAAACGGUCUCUAAUACCGCAUAACGUCUUCAGACCAAAGUGGGGGACCUUCGGGCCUCACACCAUCAGAUGUGCCCAGAUGGGAUUAUCUAAUAUGUGGGGUAAUGGCUCACCUAGGCCACGAUCCCUAUCUGGUCUGAGAGGAUGACCACCCACACUGGAACUGAGACACGGUCCACACUCCUACGGGAGGCAGCAGUGGGGAAUAUUGCACAAUGGGCGCAAGCCUGAUGCACCCGUGCCGCGUGUAUGAAGAAGGCCUUCGGGUUGUAAAGUACUUUCUGUGGGGAAGAAGGCGUUAAGGUUAAUAACCUUGGCGAUUGACUUUACCCGCAGAAGACGCACCGGCUAACUCCGUGCCAACACCCGCGGUAAUACAGAGGGUGCAAGCGUUAAUCAGAAUUACUGGGCGUAAAGCGCACGCACGCGGUCUGUCAAGUCAGAUGUGAAAUCCCCGGGCUCAACCUGAGAACUGCAUUCAAAACUGGCACGCUAGACUCUUGUAGAGGGGGGUAAAAUUCCAUGUGUAGCUGUGAAAUGCAUAGAUAUCUAGAAGAAUACCUGUGGCGAACGCCGCCCCCUGGACAAACACUGACUCUCAUGUGCGAAAGCGUGGGGAGCACACAAGAUUAUAUACCCUGGUACUCCACCCCAUACACUAUCUCCACUUAGAUGUUGUUCCCUUGAAGAGUGUCUUCCAGAUCUAACGCUUUAACUCCACCCCCUGGAGAAUACNGCCGCAAGGUUAACACUCAUAUGAAUUCACGGGGGCCCGCACAAGCUGUGGAACAUGUGUUUUAUUCUAUGCAACGCAGAAAACCUUACCUACUCUUCACCUCC
Molecule: ribosomal RNA, 900 nt
Filed under: Erwinia rhapontici
Lineage: Bacteria; Pseudomonadati; Pseudomonadota; Gammaproteobacteria; Enterobacterales; Erwiniaceae
Description: bacterial SSU rRNA
Rfam family: Bacterial small subunit ribosomal RNA
Source: RNAcentral